UCCCUGGUGGUCCAGUGACUAAGACUCUGCCCUCCCAAUGCAGGGUCCCAGGUUCAAUCCCUAGUCGGGGAG
This 72-nucleotide transfer RNA is filed under the name Capra hircus (goat). It matches the Rfam family "tRNA". From Rfam's summary of the family: Transfer RNA (tRNA) molecules are approximately 80 nucleotides in length. Lineage: Eukaryota; Metazoa; Chordata; Mammalia; Artiodactyla; Bovidae. RNAcentral also lists the same sequence under 1 other name. The record is from Rfam by way of RNAcentral.